Molecule: ribosomal RNA, 548 nt
Filed under: uncultured bacterium
Lineage: Bacteria
Description: bacterial SSU rRNA
Rfam family: Bacterial small subunit ribosomal RNA
Source: RNAcentral
UAGGGAAUCUUCGGCAAUGGACGGAAGUCUGACCGAGCAACGCCGCGUGAGUGAAGAAGGUUUUCGGAUCGUAAAGCUCUGUUGUAAGAGAAGAACGAGUGUGAGAGUGGAAAGUUCACACUGUGACGGUAUCUUACCAGAAAGGGACGGCUAACUACGUGCCAGCAGCCGCGGUAAUACGUAGGUCCCGAGCGUUGUCCGGAUUUAUUGGGCGUAAAGCGAGCGCAGGCGGUUAGAUAAGUCUGAAGUUAAAGGCUGUGGCUUAACCAUAGUAGGCUUUGGAAACUGUUUAACUUGAGUGCAAGAGGGGAGAGUGGAAUUCCAUGUGUAGCGGUGAAAUGCGUAGAUAUAUGGAGGAACACCGGUGGCGAAAGCGGCUCUCUGGCUUGUAACUGACGCUGAGGCUCGAAAGCGUGGGGAGCAAACAGGAUUAGAUACCCUGGUAGUCCACGCUGUAAACGAUGAGUGCUAGUGUUAGACCCUUUCCGGGGUUUAGUGCCGUAGCUAACGCAUUAAGCACUCCGCCUGGGGAGUACACCGCAAGGUUG